AGAGUUUGAUCCUGGCUCAGAUUGAACGCUGGCGGCAGGCCUAACACAUGCAAGUCGAGCGAGAAAGGUCUUCGGACUGAGUAGAGCGGCGGACGGGUGCGUAAUGCUUAGGAAUUUGCCCAGUAGUGGGGGACAACCCGAGGAAACUCGGGCUAAUACCGCAUACGCCCCAAGGGGGAAAGGAGGGGACCUUUCGCGCUAAUGGAUGAGCCCAAGUCGGAUUAGCUUGUUGGUGAGGUAAAAGCUCACCAAGGCGACGAUCCGUAGCUGGUCUGAGAGGACGAUCAGCCACACUGGGACUGAGACACGGCCCAGACUCCUACGGGAGGCAGCAGUGGGGAAUAUUGCACAAUGGGCGCAAGCCUGAUCCAGCAAUGCCGCGUGUGUGAAGAAGGCCUGCGGGUUGUAAAGCACUUUCAGUAGAGAAGAAAAGCCUACGGUUAAUACCCGUGGGUCUUGACGUUACCUACAGAAGAAGCUCCGGCUAACUCCGUGCCAGCAGCCGCGGUAAUACGGAGGGAGCGAGCGUUAAUCGGAAUUACUGGGCGUAAAGCGCGCGUAGGCGGCUUUGUCAGUCGGAUGUGAAAGCCCUGGGCUCAACCUGGGAAUGGCAUUCAAAACUGUCUCACUAGAGUACGAUAGAGGGGGGUAGAAUUUCAGGUGUAGCGGUGAAAUGCGUAGAGAUCUGAAGGAAUACCGGUGGCGAAGGCGGCCCCCUGGAUUGAUACUGACACUGAGGUGCGAAAGCGUGGGUAGCAAACAGGAUUAGAUACCCUGGUAGUCCACGCCGUAAACGAUGUCUACUAGCCGUUGGAAUCCUUAGAGGUUUUAGUGGCGCAGCUAACGCAAUAAGUAGACCGCCUGGGGAGUACGGCCGCAAGGCUAAAACUCAAAUGAAUUGACGGGGGCCCGCACAAGCGGUGGAGCAUGUGGUUUAAUUCGACGCAACGCGAAGAACCUUACCUACUCUUGACAUCCUCGGAACUCGGCAGAGAUGCCUUGGUGCCUUCGGGAGCCGAGUGACAGGUGCUGCAUGGCUGUCGUCAGCUCGUGUCGUGAGAUGUUGGGUUAAGUCCCGUAACGAGCGCAACCCUUGUCCUUAUUUGCCAGCACGUAAUGGUGGGACUCUAAGGAGACUGCCGGUGACAAACCGGAGGAAGGUGGGGACGACGUCAAGUCAUCAUGGCCCUUACGAGUAGGGCUACACACGUGCUACAAUGGCCAGUACAGAGGGUUGCCAAGCCGCGAGGUGGAGCUAAUCUCUUAAAGCUGGUCGUAGUCCGGAUUGAAGUCUGCAACUCGACUUCAUGAAGUUGGAAUCGCUAGUAAUCGCGAAUCAGAAUGUCGCGGUGAAUACGUUCCCGGGCCUUGUACACACCGCCCGUCACACCAUGGGAGUUGGCGGCACCAGAAGUAGAUAGCUGAACCUUCGGGAAGGCGUUUACCACUUUGUGAUUCAUGACUGGGGUGAAGUCGUAACAAGGUAGCCGUAGGGGAACCUGCGGCUGGAUCACCU
Molecule: ribosomal RNA, 1516 nt
Filed under: uncultured prokaryote
Description: partial 16S ribosomal RNA
Rfam family: Bacterial small subunit ribosomal RNA
Source: RNAcentral